Molecule: long non-coding RNA, 3901 nt
Filed under: Sus scrofa (pig)
Lineage: Eukaryota; Metazoa; Chordata; Mammalia; Artiodactyla; Suidae
Description: lncRNA (ENSSSCG00035011870.1)
Source: RNAcentral
UUUCAAAAUAACCUUUGUUCAGGGAUCUGAAAGAGCUGAGUACUCCGCUGCCAGGACUGCCCCUGGCUGGGCAGGUGGGGGCAGAGAUUUCAGAGCCAAGAGACUCAAGUGGCUACUUGGAAAGAGGGGAUGUGGCAGUCUCGGUGGCACCAGAAAACCCGGGCUCUGCCAGAAGCGGGAGGGGAAGACACUGACUUCAGCAAAAUGGGGACAAGGACCUCCACGUUGCAAGAAGAAGGAACAAGGCACACUUGGCACCUGCCACCUGUUCACGUCUCCACAAGUGGUGGCGACUGUUGUUGGUAUUAUUAUGAUGUGACCGUCUCCCACUCUCUCUUGGCCAGUCUGGCGGCAGCAUCCAUCUGAUUCCUACCUUGUGACUGUAUUCGAACAGAGACUGGCUCUUACCUGCCUGCUGGAUGGAGGCUCACAGAGGCUAAGGGCCCAGGACCACAGGUUAGUGGGUGUGGAGCUGGGCUUUGAAGUCUGACCCAUAGUCCUUAUCCCUGGAAAAUGGGAAAAAACAGCAUUAGGGAAUUCACAAGAGAAGUUUUCUCAGGCUUUUGCUUAAGAGUGGGAACUGGCAGGUCUGGGCUGGCCCUAACCGGACACCAGGCUCCCAGCGUCCAGCACACAGCACAUUUAUAGAAAGUACCAGCUUGCCGUUUUCCUGAUCAGCGGGGACUGCACAGUAGGAUGGAAACGUGCCCUGGAGAUGUGGGCGUUGGAGCUCCUGAUAAAGGGGCUGGCGGUGGAGGAAGUGCUCAGAGGGUGCUGGGCGAGCAGGAAGUGGGAGCUGUUUCUAGCGCAGAGGAUGUGGCUCAAGACAAGGUAUGAGAAAUGAAAGUCAAGGAGGAAGUAGAAGUGGGAUCCGUAGGUGCCUUGAGGACAAGGAAGUGGCUUUGUUACCAAAGGUGGAAGGAGAAAUAGUCUUGUAAUGUCUGCAGGGGGAGGCGAUGGGACCUGCAGGUCGCCCUUUGCCUUGUGGAGAGUCUCGGCCAGCCCAGUGCUCAGAGAAGACACCCUGAAGGAGAAAUGUCCCUUCUUUUGUUUGUUUUAAUCUUGCAAAAUUUCUUCUUCUGCUUCAUCUUCUUUUGUUUUAAGGUAUAGUCGAGUUACAAUGUUAUGCUAGUUUCUGCUGCACAGCAAAGUGACCCAGUCAUACAGGUAUAUACAUCCUUCUCCCAUUAUCCUCCAGCACCUUCUGUCACAAGGGAUUGGAUAGAGGUCCCUGUGUUGCACAGUAGGAGGACCUCAUGCGUAUCCAUUCUACAUGGAAGAGUUUGCACCUACCACCCAGAAAACGCCCCGUCCAUCCCAUUCCCUCCCCCUCCCCCUUGGCAACCACAAGUCUGUUCUCCAUGUCUGCAAGUCUGUAGGAACUUAUCUAUAGAACAGAAAUGUCACUUCUGAAGGCAAUGGGACAUGGAGUUCAGAUGGGUUGUGUUGGCUGCCUUGGGCUUGACUUUUAGUUCUCUGGCCGGGUGGGCGGUCCCCAGGGAUGUGCCAGGUCCCUGGGAGCCACUCCAGGGAGGCAGCUCUGGUUUCCCUUGAGGCCAAGGUGGUUCAUAAAAAUCCACUACGCAGGGAGCACUAACCAUGCCCUAGAGUUUACAGAUAUUAAACAAUGUCAUUCUCACAUUAAUUCCACGAAGUGGGCAAAUGCUAUUACUUAUAUUUUACAGAGAUGAGGCAGCUGGGAGUCGCCAUAUCUAGGUCAUUCGUCCCAGAGUAGAGGUGUUCUGGCAAGUUGAUUGCAACCAGAUCUCUGUGGCCAGAAUCAGUAUUCUUUCUGCCAAGCUGCUUGUUCCCAUAAAGGUCUACCUUAGAAAAAUUUCUCCCCUGUGUAUCAACAAGGAGCAUCAUCAGAGGCGAUUUUCGGGUUAAGGGUCCUUCUGAAAAUUAGAUGAAAGCUAGGACAUAAGAGCACAUAUGCUUUUCAAUUUGGGGGAUUGAAGAGCCUCUGAAGUGUAUCUAUAUGCAUCUGAAUGUCUACAGACCCAUUUCAGAAACUCCUGAGAUAAGGAAAAGGAAAGAAGUCAGAGAAGAAAGAAGCCUCAACGGAAACAGAAUUAAAAGUUGAAUUGUCAGCACAAUCUCAACCUUCUGAAUGUGUUGCUUUGAGUACAACAAGCUUCAAUACACAGGGUUGUGUUAUCUCACUGUAUAAAUAUUCUUCUUAUUCAUAACGUACAUGUGACAAUGACAACUCCUUUGAUCAUUCUACAGGUAUAUAUUUUUCCUCCCAUAAGACUCAAAACAUAAAAUAAUUUAUAAUAAUCUAUAGAAAAGCUUAAACUAGGGCAUCACUUCCUCUUCCUUUCCAACUCAGGUGUUUCACGGUCAAGGUCAUCAUCCAUUCUUCUAAGCCAUUCUUCCAGGAUCAUCCAGAAUCAUUUGGCAAUAUAGUUACAUUAAUCUUAUGAGGACUUCCAUCUCAUUGGAAUAUGGUACUUUGCAUAUGUUUUACUAAACUUAUUAUUUCUUUGAUACCACUUUCAAUCGUACUUAAAAUGCUCAGGCACAGAGAAUCCUGGGCUGCUGGGGAUGGAAACCACAGAAGAUGGGGAAACAAAAGUAAGAAGGUUUGAGCUGGAUGAUUUCUGAGGCAAAGAGAGGUUAAACUGAUAGUUUCAAGGCUACCUGUCAAAUUGCUGGCAGAGCUGAGAUGAGAACCCCAGUGUCCAGACUUCUUUCAGGAUUCUGUUCAUUGCAACAUGUCUGGACAUGCAUUUGUUCAAUGUGUGGCCGGAUGGAGUUUUUUUCUAACCCCUUUCUCCUUCCUUUUGCAUCCCUGGCAGGGAGGGGAUCUUUGAUUACAUGGGGGAAGGCCCAGAGGCUUUGUUAGCAGAGACCCCUGACUCAAGAUGAAGACCAUGGCCAUGGUCAGAGAAAGGUGCCCUGGUCUGGGAUGUAUCGGUAGAACCUACUUCUGUCUCUGGGGUUGGGGCCAGAAGUAAUGGGCAUCCCUACCCCAAGGACACUGGAGUGCAGCUCCAGGAAGGGGUGGCAUCCCAGGGGUCCAGAGGGGUCCAGAGGCAUGUGGGGGAGGGAGAGAGGCCAGCGGGCCAUUAAGGAAAGGUGCUCUGUGAGGUAGACCCUGGGUAGAUGGAAAGGUGGUCUCGCGAGCGACGGCUCUGUGUACAUUUGGAUCUGUUUGAAAUGGAGUGGAGAGCUUGGCGGUCAGCGUAUGAUGAGCACACUGGGGACCAGGUCCUGUGCGAAGGUCUCCAGGAGCAGAAGUCAGGAUCUCCACUUUCAAGUUUCUAACCUCAGAGGUGGAUGUGGCGAGGCACCAGAUUUAGCCCCUUAACCUUCCAUGCUUUGUAUUUUCUGACUUUGCCCCCUUUCAAUCGGCUUGACACCUGGCUCGAGAUUCAGUUCACACAACCUUGAAUAACUUUUUAGAGCCUUAGUUUCCUUGCUGGCCACCUCGAGCUUCUUCCUGUCUCUAAAAAAUUAGAAAUAACCCACUUGGAAAGUAUAACUUGAAUGAAAGGAGCUGAAGAACAUGGCGUCAAUCAGAUCCCAGCAUGACCUUAUCCAAGGAAAGAGUGCAUCUUUCAGAAGGAGAACCAGCCAUACUGGAAGCAGAGGGAAAGGACCCAGGGAGCAGACACUGAUGUCUAGUCUCUCUAGGGAGAGUCCCUCGCCAGGGACCGUCAUCUCCAGCACUGACGAUGCCCUGUUAUGGGAACAAGAACACUUGACAUCAGGAUACAUUCAAGCCAGGACACGUUCAAUUCCCCCUGCUCUGGCUCUGGGCUCACCAAGCAAACUUCUGGUUAUAAUUUGGCUUCCCAUGUAAUUUGCCUGCAAGGAGCAGAUGUUUGGCCAGAGGAAGUAAAUGCUGGUGCCCUAGGCAGUCGCCUUUUAUUUGAACAAUAAAUUAAUACAUUGG